GAUGAACGCUGGCGGCGUGCUUAACACAUGCAAGUCGAACGGAAAGGCUCCUGCUUGCAGGGGUACUCGAGUGGCGAACGGGUGAGUAACACGUGGGUGAUCUGCCCUGCACUUCGGGAUAAGCCUGGGAAACUGGGUCUAAUACCGGAUAGGACCACAUUUUGGAUGGUGUGGUGGAAAGUUUUUCGGUGUGGGAUGAGCUCGCGGCCUAUCAGCUUGUUGGUGGGGUAAUGGCCCACCAAGGCGUCGACGGGUAGCCGGCCUGAGAGGGUGUACGGCCACAUUGGGACUGAGAUACGGCCCAGACUCCUACGGGAGGCAGCAGUGGGGAAUAUUGCACAAUGGGCGCAAGCCUGAUGCAGCGACGCCGCGUGGGGGAUGACGGCCUUCGGGUUGUAAACUCCUUUCGCUAGGGACGAAGCGUUUUUGUGACGGUACCUGGAGAAGAAGCACCGGCUAACUACGUG
This 467-nucleotide ribosomal RNA is filed under the name uncultured bacterium. RNAcentral describes it as "partial 16S ribosomal RNA". It matches the Rfam family "Bacterial small subunit ribosomal RNA", at positions 28 to 507 of the family's 1533-position model. The record is from RNAcentral.